Molecule: non-coding RNA, 3393 nt
Organism: Danio rerio (zebrafish)
Lineage: Eukaryota; Metazoa; Chordata; Actinopteri; Cypriniformes; Danionidae
Source: RefSeq, a predicted model, not a curated record
AAAAAACACAGUAAGAAUAAAAGAUAUCACAAAUUAAAAACAGUCCUAAGCAAAUGAGUUUUAAGUAGCUUUUUAAAACCAUCCACUGAACCAGUAUUCCUAAUGUUAGUAGGAAAAGCAUUCCAUAGUUUGGUAGCAUGGAAAGAGGACGCCCUACCUCCCAUUGUGCUUAGUUUGAAGCAAGGCUGAAACAGUGUAGGACCAAAGGCAGAGCUUAGACAGUGAGAGGCAGAAGAAAUGGAUAACAGGUCACAAAUGUAACCUGGAGCAGAACCAUGAACCGCUUUACAUGUUAAGAUCAAUGUCAUUAAAUCAAUACGAGACUUGACGGGCAGCCAGUGAAGCUGUUGGAGGUAGGAGUGACGUGAGACCGAGACGAUGUAUGCGUCAACACACAUGCAGCAGAAUUUUGGAUGUAUUGUAAAAUCUUAAGAGAAUUAGCUGGUAACCCUCCGAACAGAGAAUUGCAAAUAUCUAAUAUACCGCAUUUAUUGUGUAUGGCCAUACACCCAAAGCAUGGCGGGGGGUCUUUCCGCACCACCACCAGUAUGUAGCAUCCACAUGGAUGAUGCGACGGCAGCCACAGGACAACAGUGUCAGUUUACUCACCACACACCAGCUAUUGGUGGAGUGGAGAGACAGUAAUAGAGCCAAUUCAGUGGAUGGGGAUAAUUGGGAGGCCAUGAUGGUUAAGGGCAGAGAGGGCAUUUGGCCAGGACACUGGAGCUACACCCUUACUUCCUACGAGAAGUGCUAUAGGAUUUCUAAUGACCACACAGAAUCAGGACCUUUCGAAUCGGGCUCAUCCGAAAGACGGCACCCACUGACAGUAAAGUAUCCCCUUCACUUUUACUUGGGCAUUAGGACUCACACAGACCACAGGUUGAGUGCCCCCUGCUGGCCUCACUAACAUCACUUUCAACAGCAACCUAAUUUUCUCAUCUGGUCUCCUAUCCUGGUACUGACCAGGCUCAGCCUACUUAGCUCCAGUGAGUAACCGUUCUUGGGAUGCAGGGUGAUAUGGCUGUGGCUGAAAGAAGACUGAUGAAUGGAUGAAGGCAGAGCAGAAACGAGACCCUCACUGAUAACCCCUCCUAAAAGCCCAGAAGGAAAGAAAAGUAGUGGGGAAAAGUAGUUUGUGAGGAGGAAAGAUUAUGAUAUUUGAUAAAAUUUCAGAUACAUCCUUUAAAACAAGCUCGACUAUAUGCAUAGAAAAAAUAAGGUCAGUGCCAAAAGCCUAGUGGUUAGUGGGUCGACACAUGGCACCAAGGUGUUCACGGUGACCUGAGUUCGAUUCCCAGCUUAGUCCUUUGCCAGUCCUUUACCUCUCUCCGCUCCCCUCACUUUCCUGUUUGUAAUCUCCACUGCCCUGUACAUUAAAAAAGAAAAGUACAUUUUGAUUUCAUUUCAAAUGUAACAUACAAUAAUACUUACUGUAAUACAUACUAUAUAUGUAACAAAAUUUCUACUGGAUCAAAGAAUCUCACAGAUCACUUUGAUCUGGAUCAGUUCCUGUUAGCGGUGUUUGUAGGAAAUAUGAUGCAGUGAUGUGGGUUAUUUGCUCAAGAAAGGAAGGAGUGCUUGAGGCAAACCUCCUCACUUAGUUUACCAAGUCUGAAGAGUUGAUGUAAGAGUGGCACACUGGUCAAACCUGUUCAAGGUUCUAGAAGCGAUUUGGCCCAGAGCAAUCUUAAAUUAAAAUUUAUGUUGAUUCUGGAACAUCAUUCCCAUAUUUGAAACUGUAUUCAUAACUAAGUCUGAUUGGCUGAUUGGAAUGUUGUUCCAGGAUCAACACAGAUGUUUAUCCAGGAGCAUGUCCUACUUGGUUGUAUUUCGUUAAAACCAGGUGAAAUGAGUAGGUUGACAAGAUCAGUGCAAGUGGCUUAUAAUCGCUGGAAAGACGUCAGGUAAUGCUGAUUCAAAUCUGUCCUUUCAUUUUUUUCACUGUUUCAUAGAGAUUUUCAUUGGCUAAAAAAUAAAAAUCGUGGCCUGAAAAUUUACUGUAUUAAAUUGCUGUAUAGUUUUUAAAAAGGCCACAAUAGUUACUCAAUAUUAAGUAAAAAAGAUUGUAUCAGAUUUUGCAUAGUGUUUUGAAAAACAUACUAAAAUCUACAUUUUUGUUUAGUCUUGAGAAAUUUCAGAAAAAUGACAAAAGCAUCCUUAAAUCUGAAAAUAAUGAGCCUCACGAUGAAGGAGCUUGUGUUAAUCUGGAGCAAGAGGAUUUGGGAGACAGAAAGACCAGAGGCUCUGGAAACUCAGAAAUCUUCACUGUUGAGGAAGCAGUUGAGGCUAUUGGUUUUGGAAGAUUUCAGUGGAAGCUCACUAUGUUAACUGGAAUCGCAUGGAUGGUGGAUGCUAUGGAAAUGGUGCUCCUAAGUGUUCUUUCUCCUCAACUGCACUGUGAAUGGAGGCUUCUGAGCUGGAAAGUGGCUUUCAUAGUAGUGGUCAGUUCAUUCACUGAUGCGCAUUAACACUGUUAAAGGAACAGUUCUCCCCAAAAAAUGCUAAUUCUGUCAUAAUUCAGUCACGCUUAGUUUCAAAACUAAUACAUUUUCUUUAUUUUUGAUAAACAAGAUAGUUUGAAGAAAGCUGAAAAACUGCAAUCAAUGACUUCCAAAGUAUUCUUUAUUUCGGAAGUAAAUGGUUAUAGGUUUCCAUCCAGCUUUCUUCAAAGUAUCUUCAUUUGGGUUCAACAGAAGCUCAUAAGGGUUUGGGAACACUUGAGGUUAAGUAAAUAAUUUGUCUAAUCAUUCUGGUGAACUAUCCCUUUAAAUAUCUACAUUUUAUUUAAAAAAUAUGACACAGUAUUGGGUUUAAAAAUAUUUUAUAAGUCACCCUGGACAUAAGUGUAACAUUUUAGAAAUCUGAAUAAAUAUGAUCUCCAUUUAUGCAUAGAUUGUUAGAAUUGAAUAAUAUUUGGUUAUGAUUCGUUUGUUUGAACAUUUGGAACCAGAGAGUUCAGAAAAAUCAAAAAAUGGAGAAAAUCACCUUUAAGGUUGCCCAAAUGAAGACUUUAGCAUAUUACUAAUGGACAAAUGCUGUAAAUACAUCUGUAAAUAACUUACCUAAUAUUCCAAAGAAUCUAUUCUAGAUUUUUGACAUAAAACAAUAGAAAAUUGGUAAAUUACUAAAAAUAUACCCAUGCAACUUAAGUUGGCCAGGGUCACAUAUUGAUUUUUUAAGGUUAAAAUUAGGCUCUUUUAUCAUAUUUAAUAUUUUGAAUUCCAAAUGCUCAGUGAUUAUUUAUGUAGCCAUUCCAAAGCCAUAAGAAAUUAGAUCCUCUUCAGAACACAAAUGAAGAUAUUUUAAAUUAUAUUUGAGAAAUUUCUGUUUAUUUCUGUAUGUUCACGUGUCUCAUGUUCAAUGUGCAUGUAUAAAAAAAACUAUUUUUGC